Molecule: ribosomal RNA, 1405 nt
Filed under: uncultured bacterium
Lineage: Bacteria
Description: partial 16S ribosomal RNA
Rfam family: Bacterial small subunit ribosomal RNA
Source: RNAcentral
AGAGUUUGAUCCUGGCUCAGGAUGAACGCUAGCGACAGGCUUAACACAUGCAAGUCGAGGGGCAGCGGGGGAGUAGCAAUACUCCCGCCGGCGACCGGCGCACGGGUGAGUAACACGUAUGAAACCUGCCCGUAGCAGGGGGAUAAGCGGAAGAAAUUCCGUCUAAUACCGCGUAACAACCCUUGGAGGCAUCUCCUCGGGUUUAAAGGGAGCGAUUCCGGCUACGGAUGGUCAUGCGUCGCAUUAGCUUGUUGGCGGGGUAACGGCCCACCAAGGCGACGAUGCGUAGGGGUUCUGAGAGGAAGGUCCCCCACACUGGUACUGAGACACGGACCAGACUCCUACGGGAGGCAGCAGUGAGGAAUAUUGGUCAAUGGCCGCAGGGCUGAACCAGCCAAGUCGCGUGAGGGAUGACGGUCCUAUGGAUUGUAAACCUCUUUUGUCAGGGAGCAAAGGGCGUCACGUGUGGCGUUUUGCGAGUACCUGAAGAAAAAGCAUCGGCUAACUCCGUGCCAGCAGCCGCGGUAAUACGGAGGAUGCGAGCGUUAUCCGGAUUUAUUGGGUUUAAAGGGUGCGCAGGCGGAAUGUCAAGUCAGCGGUAAAAUUUCGGGGCUCAACCCCGUCGUGCCGUUGAAACUGGCGUUCUUGAGUGAGCGAGAAGUAUGCGGAAUGCGUGGUGUAGCGGUGAAAUGCAUAGAUAUCACGCAGAACUCCGAUUGCGAAGGCAGCAUACCGGCGCUCAACUGACGCUCAUGCACGAAAGCGUGGGUAUCGAACAGGAUUAGAUACCCUGGUAGUCCACGCAGUAAACGAUGAAUACUAACUGUCCGGGCAGAAUGAUGUCUGGGUGGUACAGCGAAAGCGUUAAGUAUUCCACCUGGGGAGUACGCCGGCAACGGUGAAACUCAAAGGAAUUGACGGGGGCCCGCACAAGCGGAGGAACAUGUGGUUUAAUUCGAUGAUACGCGAGGAACCUUACCCGGGCUCAAACGACGGAUGGAUGUUUCUGAAAGGAGGCAGUCCUACGGGACAUCCGUCGAGGUGCUGCAUGGUUGUCGUCAGCUCGUGCCGUGAGGUGUCGGCUUAAGUGCCAUAACGAGCGCAACCCCCAUCGCCAGUUACCAGCAAGUAAAGUUGGGGACUCUGGCGAGACUGCCGGCGCAAGCUGUGAGGAAGGCGGGGAUGACGUCAAAUCAGCACGGCCCUUACGUCCGGGGCGACACACGUGUUACAAUGGCAGGUACAGAGAGAUGCGAUGUGGCGACGCAGAGCGGAACUUCAAAGCCUGUCUCAGUUCGGAUUGGAGUCUGCAACCCGACUCCAUGAAGCUGGAUUCGCUAGUAAUCGCGCAUCAGCCACGGCGCGGUGAAUACGUUCCCGGGCCUUGCACUCACCGCCCGUCAAG